AUCGAAAACCUCUGCCGCUCACGCGCCCUCCAAGCCUUCCACCUCGACGCCCAAUCCUGGGGCGUCAACGUCCAGCCCUACUCCGGCUCCCCGGCCAACUUCGCCGCCUACACCGCCGUCCUCAACCCCCACGACCGCAUCAUGGGGCUAGAUCUCCCCUCCGGCGGCCACCUCACCCACGGCUACUACACCUCCGGCGGAAAGAAGAUCUCCGCCACCUCCAUUUACUUCGAGAGUCUCCCUUACAAGGUAAACUCCACCACCGGCUACAUCGACUACGACCGCUUGGAAGAAAAAGCCCUAGACUUCAGGCCAAAACUCAUAAUCUGCGGUGGCAGCGCGUACCCUCGCGAUUGGGA
RNAcentral lists this long non-coding RNA (359 nucleotides) under Glycine max (soybean). RNAcentral describes it as "long non-coding RNA (GMAX_LNC001681)". The record is from RNAcentral. Lineage: Eukaryota; Viridiplantae; Streptophyta; Magnoliopsida; Fabales; Fabaceae.